AGUUUGAUGGCGACCGGCGCACGGGUGAGUAACACGUAUCCAACCUGCCGAUGACUCGGGGAUAGCCUUUCGAAAGAAAGAUUAAUACCCGAUGGCAUAGUUCUUCCGCAUGGUGGAACUAUUAAAGAAUUUCGGUUAUCGAUGGGGAUGCGUUCCAUUAGGCAGUUGGUGGGGUAACGGCCCACCAAACCUUCGAUGGAUAGGGGUUCUGAGAGGAAGGUCCCCCACAUUGGAACUGAGACACGGUCCAAACUCCUACGGGAGGCAGCAUG
This 272-nucleotide ribosomal RNA is filed under the name uncultured bacterium. Its description in RNAcentral is "partial 16S ribosomal RNA". It matches the Rfam family "Bacterial small subunit ribosomal RNA", at positions 82 to 353 of the family's 1533-position model. The record is from RNAcentral.